This 86-nucleotide transfer RNA is filed under the name Streptomyces sp. LRE541. RNAcentral describes it as "tRNA-OTHER". It matches the Rfam family "tRNA". Rfam says of the family: Transfer RNA (tRNA) molecules are approximately 80 nucleotides in length. Their secondary structure includes four short double-helical elements and three loops (D, anti-codon, and T loops). RNAcentral also lists the same sequence under 2 other names. Lineage: Bacteria; Bacillati; Actinomycetota; Actinomycetes; Kitasatosporales; Streptomycetaceae. The record is from RNAcentral.
GGAGAGGUGCCCGCAGCGGCCCAACGGGGUCCGGCGCCAGCCGGUUCGGGUGCAAGCCCACGCAGGUUCGAAUCCUGCCCUCUCCG